UACGUAGGGUGCGAGCGUUGUCCGGAAUUAUUGGGCGUAAAGGGCUCGUAGGCGGUUUGUUGCGUCGGACGUGAAAACUCAGGGCUUAACCCUGAGCCUGCUUCCGAUACGGGCAGACUAGAGGUAUGCAGGGGAGAACGGAAUUCCUGGUGUAGCGGUGAAAUGCGCAGAUAUCAGGAGGAACACCGGUGGCGAAGGCGGUUCUCUGGGCAUUACCUGACGCUGAGGAGCGAAAGUGUGGGGAGCGAACAGG
Molecule: ribosomal RNA, 253 nt
Filed under: uncultured bacterium
Lineage: Bacteria
Description: partial 16S ribosomal RNA
Rfam family: Bacterial small subunit ribosomal RNA
Source: RNAcentral